AAGCUCACUUUGGCAGCACAUAUUCUAAAAUAAGAUGAUACAGACAAGAUUAGCAUGGCCCCGUGCAAGGACGACACACACACUUGAGAAGCAUUCUAUAUUAAA
RNAcentral lists this small nuclear RNA (105 nucleotides) under Chinchilla lanigera (long-tailed chinchilla). Lineage: Eukaryota; Metazoa; Chordata; Mammalia; Rodentia; Chinchillidae. The record is from RNAcentral.